GUGGGGGCCCUCGCGGCGGCAGCGGGGGCGGUGGCCCCAGCGGGAAAUCCGGAAAGGCGGCGGGGUUGGCACCGGCCACCAGGAUUCCAUCCAGGACACCACAUUUAAUUGUUAUGAUGUCUUGGGCUCCUCUUGGCUGUGAGAGUUUCUGAGAUUUUCCUUGUAUUUGAUGACCUUGACAGUCCUUGGGAAUACUGUUCCUCUCUGUCCUGCCACCAUGUGGAGAAAGAUGUGUUUGCUUCCCCUUCUACCAUGAUUGUAAGUUUCCUGCAGCCUCGCCAGC
Cercocebus atys (sooty mangabey) is the source of this 283-nucleotide long non-coding RNA. RefSeq lists it as uncharacterized. The transcript has 3 exons. The record is from RefSeq and is a predicted model, not a curated record. Lineage: Eukaryota; Metazoa; Chordata; Mammalia; Primates; Cercopithecidae.